RNAcentral lists this ribosomal RNA (492 nucleotides) under uncultured bacterium. RNAcentral's name for it is "partial 16S ribosomal RNA". It matches the Rfam family "Bacterial small subunit ribosomal RNA", at positions 29 to 507 of the family's 1533-position model. The record is from RNAcentral.
AGUGAACGCUGGCGGUAGGCCUAACACAUGCAAGUCGAACGGCAGCACAGUAAGAGCUUGCUCUUACGGGUGGCGAGUGGCGGACGGGUGAGGAAUACAUCGGAAUCUACUUUUUCGUGGGGGAUAACGUAGGGAAACUUACGCUAAUACCGCAUACGACCUACGGGUGAAAGCAGGGGAUCUUCGGACCUUGCGCGAUUGAAUGAGCCGAUGUCGGAUUAGCUAGUUGGCGGGGUAAAGGCCCACCAAGGCGACGAUCCGUAGCUGGUCUGAGAGGAUGAUCAGCCACACUGGAAGUGAGACACGGUCCAGACUCCUACGGGAGGCAGCAGUGGGGAAUAUUGGACAAUGGGGGCAAGCCUGAUCCAGCAAUACCGCGUGGGUGAAGAAGGCCUUCGGGUUGUAAAGCCCUUUUGUUGGGAAAGAAAAGCAGCAGGUUAAUACCCCGCUGUUCUGACGGUACCCAAAGAAUAAGCACCGGCUAACUUCGUG